GAUCAGGAACAAUAUAAGGAUGCUCCUCCCACCACUUCUAGUCAACAUAGCUCUGGAGGUGCUAGACAGAAGAAUUAGGAAGCAACUCUGCCACAAGCUGUGACAAGCAGAGCCUCUUCUAAAGUGCCUUGAGGAUGGCCAUGGCCCCUGCUCCUGCCCACUGCCUCUCUGCAGAACUCCAACAUUGUGAAGCCCAGUCCCUGGCUGAGGUCAUCUGGUUCUGCAUCUCCUUCCUCUGUCCUCUCUGUCUCUCAACAGUGUUUCCCUCACAGAUGUUUUCCACAAAGAACUGCUGUGCUCUCACUCAACUUCACUGUUGAUGCUCCCACACUUUAUUUGCGCAUUGGACUUGCAAAAGUUCAAGAUUUAUAGGGUG
This 376-nucleotide long non-coding RNA is filed under the name Equus asinus (donkey). RNAcentral's name for it is "lncRNA (ENSEASG00005035256.1)". The record is from RNAcentral. Lineage: Eukaryota; Metazoa; Chordata; Mammalia; Perissodactyla; Equidae.